Molecule: ribosomal RNA, 407 nt
Filed under: uncultured bacterium
Lineage: Bacteria
Description: partial 16S ribosomal RNA
Rfam family: Bacterial small subunit ribosomal RNA
Source: RNAcentral
AUUGAACGCUGGCGGCAGGCCUAACACAUGCAAGUCGAGCGGAGCGGCGGACGGGUGAUUAAUGCCUAGGAAUCUGCCUGGUAGUGGGGGAUAACGUCCGGAAACGGGCGCUAAUACCGCAUACUAUCAGAUGAGCCUAGGUCGGAUUAGCUAGUUGGUGGGGUAAAGGCCUACCAAGGCGACGAUCCGUAACUGGUCUGAGAGGAUGAUCAGUCACACUGGAACUGAGACACGGUCCAGACUCCUACGGGAGGCAGCAGUGGGGAAGCUUCCGCAAUGGACGAAAGUCUGACGGAGCAACGCCGCGUGAGUGAUGACGGCCUUCGGGUUGUAAAGCACUUUCAGCGGGGAGGCGUUACCCGCAGAAGAAGCACCGGCUAACUCCGUGCCAGCAGCCGCGGUAAUAC